UACGGAGGGUGCAAGCGUUAUCCGGAAUGAUUGGGCGUAAAGCGUCCGCAGGUGGCUAUGUAAGUCUGCUGUUAAAGAGUGAGGCUCAACCUCAUAAGAGCAGUGGAAACUACAUGGCUAGAGUGCGUUCGGGGCAGAGGGAAUUCCUGGUGUAGCGGUGAAAUGCGUAGAGAUCAGGAAGAACACCGGUGGCGAAAGCGCUCUGCUAGGCCGCAACUGACACUGAGGGACGAAAGCUAGGGGGGCGAAUGGG
Molecule: ribosomal RNA, 253 nt
Filed under: uncultured bacterium
Lineage: Bacteria
Description: partial 16S ribosomal RNA
Rfam family: Bacterial small subunit ribosomal RNA
Source: RNAcentral